AUUCCGGUUGAUCCUGCCGGAGGUCACUGCUAUUGGGAUUCGACUAAGCCAUGCGAGUCGAGAGGGUUCGGCCCUCGGCAGACGGCUCAGUAACACGUGGAUAAUCUGCCCUAAGGAGGAGGAUAACCUCGGGAAACUGAGAAUAAUACUCCAUAGGUCUAGAAGGCUGGAAUGCAUCUAGGCCCAAAACUCCGGUGCCUUAGGAUGAGUCCGCGGACUAUCAGGUUGUAGUCAGGGUAAUGACCUGACUAGCCUACGACGGAUAUGGGUUGUGAGAGCAAUAACCCAGAGACGAUAUCUGAGACACGAUAUCGGGCCCUACGGGGCGCAGCAGGCGCGAAAACUUCACAAUGUGCGAAAGCACGAUGAGGGGAUCCCAAGUGC
Molecule: ribosomal RNA, 384 nt
Filed under: Candidatus Asgardarchaeum californiense
Lineage: Archaea; Promethearchaeati; Candidatus Asgardarchaeia (ex Tamarit et al. 2024); Candidatus Asgardarchaeales (ex Tamarit et al. 2024); Candidatus Asgardarchaeaceae
Description: bacterial SSU rRNA
Rfam family: Archaeal small subunit ribosomal RNA
Source: RNAcentral